Long non-coding RNA from Peromyscus eremicus (cactus mouse), 1132 nucleotides. RefSeq lists it as uncharacterized. NCBI's taxonomy places the organism in Eukaryota, Metazoa, Chordata, Mammalia, Rodentia, Cricetidae. The record is from RefSeq and is a predicted model, not a curated record. The transcript has 4 exons.
CCAGGCCCAUGUGCCGCUGCUUCCGGCCCGCCCACAACCCUCCCAGAGGCCCGAGCGACUAGGCUUCCGGCCUUGUGCUAUGGCCCGCCCCCAGGCCUAAGCGCACGGCUCUGGCCCCGCCCCCAGGCCUGGGCCCCUCAGUUUCUGGCCGCACCCCUAGGCUGGUCCCUAUACCGGAACGCCUCCGCUUCCGGCUGGCGGAGAGAUCUGGCGCGCCCCCUGGCCCAAACUGCCGCUGCGCUCUGCAGAGUACCCAUGCCAGACUGUCCCAUGAUUAGAGUUUUGAGACUGGAUCAUUUUGUGAGAAGAUGGGGAUGUCUGUGAAAUGAGACCACCCAGAGAGAACUCCAAAUACCAAAGAAGAGGGCCAUAGAGGAAAAUUUCAGAAGUGGGAAUGUCUAAAACUACCAUAUGUGGACAGCCAGUGAGUAUUUGCCUGAUACCCAUGGAGGCCAGAAGAGGACAUCAGAUUCCCUGGUACUGGAGUUACAGAUGGUUUGAGCCACCAUGUAGGUAUUGGGAAUAGAAACCUGGUCCUUUGGAAGAGCAGCCAGUGCUCUUAACUACUGAGCCAUCUCUCCAGCCCCUCAGCAUGAACACUUUCCAGGCAUUCCUGGAACUCAGUAAUCCCUUGGCUCUUAUGAAACUCACAUACUUGAUGAUGAUUUGCACAAUGUUACCCACAAUGUUUAAUGCUUUUGUGCAUAUGUUGUCUUGAUGCACUAUACAAUGAAACUUCAUUAAAUGUGAAUUUAGGGCAGCAAUUGUAUCAUCUAUUAACUUUUAAAGUCUUUUAUCUCCUCUUGUCAGACAUUAUCAGUAACUACAUCAGAGAUGUUGGCAAUGGACAAAGAAAAUUACUUUAACAUAGUUUUUACUACUUCAUAUAAAUCUCUUGUUCUAGUGCCUCUUAAUGACACUAAAGAAGCCAUUGAUUCAGCAACUUUAUUAUAUUCACCAUCAAUGCCUCUUAUUAGAGACAAGUUGAGCCAUCCAUAUUUGUAGCAUCGGCAUGUCAUCGGUCAUCACAGCACACAAUUUAAAAUUUAAAGUUGGUUGCUCUACACAAAAGCUUCUGUAAUACCUGUUCCAGUGUCUUUACUUUGCCUGGUUAUCAGCCAGUGAAACAAAU